GAUUUGAUCGUGGCUCAGAGCGAACGUUAGCGGCGGGCCUAACACAUGCAAGUCGAGCGAGAAAGGGACUUCGGUCCUGAGUAAAGCGGCGGACGGGUGAAUAUCGCGUAGGUAAUCUGCCCUUCAGCGGGGGAUAACGGUCCGAAAGGACCGCUAAUACCGCGUACGUGCCACGAGGCCUCGGUCUUGUGGCGGAAAGCUAGGUAGCAAUAUCUGGCGCUGGAGGAGGAGCCUGCGUCGCAUCAGCUAGUUGGUGGGGUAACGGCCUACCAAGGCGAAGACGCGUAGCUGGUCUGAGAGGAUGAUCAGCCACACUGGGACUGAGACACGGCCCAGACUCCUACGGGAGGCAGCAGUGGGGGAAUAUUGGACAAUGGGCGCAAGCCUGAUCCAGCCACGCCGCGUGAGUGAUGAAGGCCUUCGGUCGUAAGACUCUGUGGGUAGGGACGGAACCGGACCGGUCGGUUAAG
Molecule: ribosomal RNA, 470 nt
Filed under: uncultured bacterium
Lineage: Bacteria
Description: bacterial SSU rRNA
Rfam family: Bacterial small subunit ribosomal RNA
Source: RNAcentral